This 803-nucleotide ribosomal RNA is filed under the name uncultured bacterium. RNAcentral describes it as "bacterial SSU rRNA". It matches the Rfam family "Bacterial small subunit ribosomal RNA", at positions 59 to 872 of the family's 1533-position model. The record is from RNAcentral.
CAGUCGAACGGACUCAUAUUGAAACCUAGUGAUUUAUGAGUUAGUGGCGCCCUUAAAAGUAACGCGUGGAUAACCUGCCGUAUACCGGGGGACAUCACUUGGAAAUAGGUGCUAAUACCGCAUAAGCGCACGGCUCCGCAUGGGGUAGUGUGAAAAACUCCGGUGGUAUACGAUGGAUCCGCGUCUGAUUAGCUAGUUGGCGGGGUAACGGCCCACCAAGGCAGCGAUCAGUAGCCGGCCUGAGAGGGUGGACGGCCACAUUGGGACUGAGACACGGCCCAAACUCCUACGGGAGGCAGCAGUGGGGAAUAUUGCACAAUGGGGGAAACCCUGAUGCAGCGACGCCGCGUGAGUGAAGAAGUAUCUCGGUACGUAAAGCUCUAUCAGCAGGGAAGAAAAUGACGGUACCUGACUAAGAAGCCCCGGCUAACUACGUGCCAGCAGCCGCGGUAAUACGUAGGGGGCAAGCGUUAUCCGGAUUUACUGGGUGUAAAGGGAGCGUAGACGGCAGCACAAGUCUGGAGUGAAAUCCCGGGGCUUAACCCCGGAACUGCUUUGGAAACUGUGCGGCUGGAGUGCAGGAGGGGUAAGCGGAAUUCCUAGUGUAGCGGUGAAAUGCGUAGAUAUUAGGAGGAACACCGGUGGCGAAGGCGGCUUACUGGACUGUAACUGACGUUGAGGCUCGAAAGCGUGGGGAGCAAACAGGAUUAGAUACCCUGGUAGUCCACGCCGUAAACGAUGAUUACUAGGUGUCGGGGGAUCAAGGUCCUCCGGUGCCGGCGCAAACGCAUUAAGUAAUCCAC